CCCUUAGAUGUUCUGGGCCGCACGCGUGCUACACUGAGUGGAUCAGCGGGUCAGGUUACGCGAGAGCGUUUCCUAAUCUUCAAAUCCGCUCGUGAUGGGGAUUGACGGUUGCAAUUUUCCGUCAUGAACGAGGAAUACCUUGUAAGCGCGGGUCAUCAUCCCGCGCUGAAUACGUCCCUGCCCUUUGUACACACCGCCCGUCGCUCCUACCGAUCGAGUGGUCCGGUGAGGCUUUGGGAUCUAAGCGAAAAGAGCGUUUCGCUCCUUUUGCUGGGAGAACUCAGUCGAACCUUAUCAUUUAGAGGAAGGAGAAGUCGUGACA
Molecule: ribosomal RNA, 322 nt
Filed under: uncultured eukaryote
Lineage: Eukaryota
Description: partial 18S ribosomal RNA
Rfam family: Eukaryotic small subunit ribosomal RNA
Source: RNAcentral